AAGAAGUCGCAAACCAAAUCAAAAGCACAAAAUUCUUCCUCCCUUUUGCAUAACCUGAAGCUGUACUAAAUUGAAAGAAAUGCUCUGUUAAAUUUGUCGGCAUAGCUGUGUAAACUCCUAACCAACUCUGAAUCAUUUGCCAAAUAAUUCCAAAGGUACCACAAUUUAAAAACAAAUGAACAUCAGUCUCCUGCACUCCACACCCACCAACACACAUUUGUUGAUCAACAGGAAUAAUCCCCCAACGGAAUAAAUUAGCCUUAGCAGGCAACCUAUUCCAAAAGAGCCGCCACAUGAAAAUCAAGACCUUAAGCGGGAUGUCCUUCCUCCACAGAAUGUCAUCCAGGAUCCAAGCAACAUAUUUUCUCUGAUUAUAAAAAAAAUAGACUAAUUUUAAAAAUAUUAAUUAUUGCCAUUUUUUAUGCCUCCAC
RNAcentral lists this long non-coding RNA (431 nucleotides) under Medicago truncatula (barrel medic). Its description in RNAcentral is "long non-coding RNA (MTRU_LNC003086)". The record is from RNAcentral. Lineage: Eukaryota; Viridiplantae; Streptophyta; Magnoliopsida; Fabales; Fabaceae.